This 313-nucleotide ribosomal RNA is filed under the name uncultured bacterium. RNAcentral describes it as "bacterial SSU rRNA". It matches the Rfam family "Bacterial small subunit ribosomal RNA", at positions 28 to 334 of the family's 1533-position model. The record is from RNAcentral.
GAUGAACGCUGGCGGCGUGCCUAACACAUGCAAGUCGAACGGAUCCAUACUGAAACCUAGUGAUGUAUGGAUUAGUGGCGGACGGGUGAGUAACGCGUGGAUAACCUGCCGUAUACAGGGGGAUAACACUUAGAAAUAGGUGCUAAUACCGCAUAAGCGCACGGUUCCGCAUGGAACAGUGUGAAAAACUCCGGUGGUAUACGAUGGAUCCGCGUCUGAUUAGCCAGUUGGCGGGGUAACGGCCCACCAAAGCGACGAUCAGUAGCCGGCCUGAGAGGGUGAACGGCCACAUUGGGACUGAGACACGGCCCAA